RNAcentral lists this long non-coding RNA (797 nucleotides) under Piliocolobus tephrosceles (Ugandan red Colobus). RNAcentral describes it as "lncRNA (ENSPTEG00000015942.1)". The record is from RNAcentral. Lineage: Eukaryota; Metazoa; Chordata; Mammalia; Primates; Cercopithecidae.
UUUUAUUUUUUUUUAUUCCUUUUACUUUAUUUAUUCAUUUAUGUAUAUACUUAUUUAUUUUAUUUUAUAUAUUUUUUUUAUAUAUUCAGUACCACAAAAACAAUUUAAAAAGCUUAAGGUUCAUUUUUUGUAAACAAGAAUUAGAUGCUUUCGAAAAAGAAAAAUUACAAGAAUUAAAAAAUUAUGUAAAUAAAUUAAAACAAACAGAAUGGGAAAAACAGAAAGAAAAAAAAGUGAAUUACAAACAUAUGAAACUAUUUUUAAAAACACGUUAUUUAAUGAUGACAAUUAUGUACUAAGGUUUCUACAAGGAAAUGAAUUUAACCAUGAAAAGUGUUUCACGGAUAUGCUAAGACAUUUGGAAUGGAGACAAGCAAAUAUUCCUGUAUUAUAUAAUGAUGUUAAAGAUAUGUUGAACAAUGGAUAUGUUUACGUUCAUGGAAGAGAUAAACAAAUGCACCCAAUAAUAAUUAUCAACUGUAAACGUUUUAUAACUGUAAAUACGAAUGAAGUCUUAAAGGUUACAUAUUACUGGCUAGAAUUUAUAAUUGCACAUUUAUUUAUCGAAGGAAAAAUUGAACAGUGGAGGGUUAUAAUUGACUUAAGUUCCUGUGGGCUUUUAAAUAUACCUAUAGGGACAUUAAAAGAUAUAUACAAAAAAUAAACUAAAAAUACGAUCACAGUGUGAUGAAACGUGUACAUAUCAAUAUAACCGUAAACAUAAAUAAGAGUAUAUAUAUAGUGAGCGAUAAAGAAGUUAGGUUAUGUACAAAAAAAAAGAUAAAAUAGUUAUAUAA